Molecule: ribosomal RNA, 440 nt
Filed under: uncultured bacterium
Lineage: Bacteria
Description: partial 16S ribosomal RNA
Rfam family: Bacterial small subunit ribosomal RNA
Source: RNAcentral
CCUACGGGAGGCAGCAGUGGGGAAUAUUGCACAAUGGGGGAAACCCUGAUGCAGCGACGCCGCGUGAGUGAAGAAGUAUCUCGGUACGUAAAGCUCGAUCAGCAGGGAAGAAAAUGAAGGUACCUGACUCAGAAGCCCCGGCUAACUACGUGCCAGCAGCCGCGGUCAUACGUAGGGGGCAAGCGUUAUCCGGAUUUACUGGGUGUAAAGGGAGCGUAGACGGGAGGACAAGGCUGGAGUGAAAGCCCGGGGCUUAACCCCGGAACUGCUUUGGAAACUGUGCGGCUGGAGUGCAGGAGGGGUAAGCGGAAUGCGUGGUGUAGCGGUGAAAUGCAUAGAUAUUAGGCGGAACACCGAUGGCGAAGGCGGCUUACUGGACUGUAACUGACGUUGAGGCUCGAAAGCGUGGGGAGCAAACAGGAUUAGAUACCCCUGUAGUC